Molecule: long non-coding RNA, 759 nt
Organism: Gasterosteus aculeatus aculeatus (three-spined stickleback)
Lineage: Eukaryota; Metazoa; Chordata; Actinopteri; Perciformes; Gasterosteidae
Source: Ensembl
CUUCAUGAGCCUUGCUCAGGUCAAUGUACUGCAUGUUAAGUUCAAUAUUUUUCCCUUCUUAAAACCCACACCAGCAAGGAAUAACCAUGCAUGCAGCUCCCUCUAAUGCAGUACAUAUCUAUGAUUCCUGAUGUGUUCCAGUGCCUUCAUGUGACCAGCAAUAGACCCUGAAUCAAAUAGAUCUCCUUAAGGACACCCAUGCUGACUGCACAUCACGGGACCUUGAGGAUCUACAGUGACAAGUACUUUCAGUGCAGCGUACCCUGCAUCCCGUCUCCUGACCCUCUGGGGCUUCCUUGGACCUCUCUGGACCGUCUCAGUCAUCCUCCCCCGAGCCACGCGGAUCCAUGAGUAACCACCAAGCGCCUUCCCAACCGACUGUGCGCUAUAAAGGGACGGUUUGUUCUUUGUGGCUUAAUACAACGACUACCAACGUGGUGCUCUAGUGUGCUAGUGGUCUAAAACGCAUACAACUUCAAGUGACCUUUGUGGAACCCUGGUUCAGAUCCGAGGACCAGUCACAAUAUAUGAAAAGGUAAAAAUGCCAUGUAUAUAACCGUGAAACAAUGGAAGUGGGUGUUUGCGGCAGAAUAAUUUGCACGAGGACGGAACUGUAGCCUCAAUAUGAAGUCAAUUGAAAAGAAAUGUCUUGAAAAGCCAAUUUAAAAUGUCAGGUUGAGCAUAUGUGGGAGCAUAAUGUUUAGAAUCAUAUCUCGGCAGCGAAUGCGGGCAGAUUCCAUUAUCCACAUGGAGACUAAC